AUAUUAAUCUAAAAAAAAAAAUCAUACAGUGGUUAGAAUUUAUCCUAAAGUUAUUUGAUAGUGAAUUCACCUAUUUAUGAAUUCAUCUGUUUUGUUUUUUUUUUGGUUGUUUUUUUAUGUUUGAAUCAUGGCUCUUGUUUUAGAUAAACUGAGAUCUUAAGUCAGAAUUUAAUGUUUAGUGAGCUGCCUAAAACAUUAGGCAAUACUCAAUAGCAUUUUCAAAAGCCCACAGCCAUUUAAACCAAUCAGCAUAGAAAAUGAGUUUGGAAGCUAGAUUCAACUCAUGUGCCACGGGAUUAUAGACUGACAUUUAUUCUCUCUCUUGAUCAGACAGUGAAUUUUUAAUUAUUCCACGAAAAGUAGAGCAUGUGCAACUGGAAAUGUUUUUAAUAACUUGUGUCUUAUUUUAAUUGCCUGGUGACUAGUAUGUAAGGUAAGAAUAUCAAAUUUGAAAAAAAAAACCUUUAAAAAAAAAAAAACCAAAAAACAAAAAAACACCACAGGUCAGGGAAAAAAAAUAUAUCAGAAGGGCCCUGACUACCUGACUAGUACAAACUUGAACAUGGAAAGUUCCAUAUGAACUUGUGAAGAAACUUUACUGUGAGGGUGACAGAGCACUGGAACAGGCUGCCCAGAGAGACCAUGGAGUCUCCUCAGGAGAUAUUCAUAACCCAGCUGGACACUUUCCUGUUCAACCUUCUGUAGGGAACCUGCUUUAGCACAGGUGGUAGACUCAAUGAUCCCUACAUGACCCUUCCAACCCUAAUGAUUCUGUGAUUCUGCGACUGUUCAGAGUUGAACCUAGAGCUUUCUGGCAGUGGAAGACACCAGGAAUUCCAUUCAAAAACUCUAUGAAUUUUUCCGGCAAGAGAGAACAAUGGUCAUGCAAGGAAUUCUGGAGAGAGAAUGGUAGAAUGGUUACAACGAGCUCACUGGGAGAUCUGAUCCCAGUCACCAGCUGAGAGGACAGAGGAGAACACAACUUGCGCUCCCGAUCCCUUCAGAAGUCUUCCCAGAGCCCUGACGUCCCUUCUGAUCACCCAAAGGCUUCUUUUGCCUACCUCUUCAUUUCCAAUGUGGAAAACCAGUAACGGAGAAUAAUCGGAGGGCUUAACGAGGUGUCGUUAAUCGGAGGCUUAAUGACAACACACCUCCCUGUGGGAUGGAUCUGAGCAGCAUAUCGGGCCCUCGGUUCCCCUCAGAAGGGAGUUCCCUAUGACGACAAGUUUUUUUGUUUUGUUUUGUUCCCCUCCCCCCCCCCCCCCUCCCCCCCCAAGUGACGUAGCAAAAUGGGGAGCAGACUGACUAGCCUUGGGCAACCUCUCCUGCAUGGAUGGACUUUCACCAACAUCCACAGCUCCUACUCCCUCCAGCUUCAGAGCCUCAUACCUGUUUUGUAAGGGCACCUGGGAAGGUGGGACAGGCUGAGGGGCAGUCUGCUUGCUGCCCUGAACAGGGACUUGUUUCCAUCCCUCGCUGUCUUUGAGGUCACUCCUUCCCACCUGACUGUGAGACAGCAGAUGAUCCCCCACUGCUUGAGGAGCAUCUCCCCUGCACCCUUUCUGUAGGGAUGGCAGAGUGCAACUUUACUAGUCAAUCCCCUUCCCACAAUCCCGGAUGCUCCUCCCUUUCUUCCUCCUUCUGCUCUACCACCAGCCUGAGCAGAUCCUCCACCUGCUCACACUGCACACAGGUAGUAUCCUGGCUGCCCUCCUGUACCAGUAACAUGGCCAGGCAUUCUCCGCAACCUGAGACCCGAACUGUGGCAUGGACAUUCAUGCUUUCUGUCUGAGUCUCCACGUUCCUUUUAGCAGCAGCUCACCUCCGUUUGGUGACCAUGGUUGCACCUCGGUGUGUCCAGAGAGCAACGACCUGUUAAGUGACCUGUUAAGUGCUAAGUGCUAAGCCCCCUCCUAUAUGGCAAGGUGCCCUGCCCUGCCCUGCCUGCCCGCUGAUUUGCUCGGGGUUUGCCCUAGAAAUCACUCUUUUCACAGCAAGACAACAACCUGCCUUCCUGCAUAGUCACGCAAAUAGGUGGCUUACUAUUUCACCUCCUCAGAACAGCCCAAGUGAUUCAAACACCCUGACUCCUCCUCUCCAUCCCCAAGGCUUUUUCUAGGCAGGGGGCGUGGAUGCAGAGCCGUUGCCCUGGCAACGCCCACUUCAUGUCAGCC
This is a long non-coding RNA of Gallus gallus (chicken), 2174 nucleotides long. Lineage: Eukaryota; Metazoa; Chordata; Aves; Galliformes; Phasianidae. The record is from Ensembl.